UUGACCCAAUUCUCUCCUUAGACUCAUUUUACCCGGUCUUGGUUAUUCCACAUGAAAAGGUAACAGGCAUUGUGUUCUUUCUGUGAUUGACAAAACACUUCUCCUGGUAUUGGACCAUCAGCUGAUCAGCUUAUUUCUUCAAACAAAAGGAUGUCAACUGAACAUGUGAUGGCUUGAAAGAGAAGGAAACUGUCUGACUAAUUCAAAAGCAGAGUCACUCUUACAGUGAAGUCAUGCAGUGGAUCUACCUCCUCAUCUGUUUCAUUCUUUUUGGUGAAGGAGUCAUACCAGCAAUUGUGUUAGAACAAGAAAAGGCUGUGACUGUCCUGGUUGGAGGGGUCAGCACACUCAAGUGCAGCAUGACAGGAGGAUCUAUAAAUAACUAUUACAUGUACUGGAACAGAAAGAACCAGGACAACACUUUGACAUUUAUAUGUGAAGACAACUCAUGUAACAUGGAGAAUUUUCAGAGUGCGAUUGAUUCUACCAACAAUAAGUUCACACUUAAAAUUAUCAAGCCAUCAGUGAGAGACAAUGGAAUCUACUACUGUGCAUCUGAUCAUCACAGUGCUUCAGCUCCACUUCUAAGUAAUUCAGAAACCUACAGUCAAACUCCAAUAAGAGCCUGGCUUCUUCCGGAAGAACUCAAAGGAAAGUGGGUAGAGGGAAACGUUGACUCUCAGAGCCAAUUGAGAGCUUCCUACUUAGGAUCAUAGCUUUACAGAGCUAAAGCUGAAAGGGACCUUAGAGGGUGUCAAGUCUUAUCUUUUCAUUUUACAGAUGAGAACAGUGAGGUCCAGUUAAAUUGCCUGCCCAAGGUAACAAGUAAGUCUCACAUGUGGGAUUGGAAACCAUAUCUUCUGAUUCCACAGUCAAUGUGCUUUCAAUUGCCCUAUGUGCCUCCUACUCAGUCACUUAAGACUUGAACAAAGAAUUACAGAGACAUUUAGAUAAUUCCUAAAGAGGAUGGACCCAGUAUAGGACAAGUGAGAGCUGGGGUGGGGAGGGGGGAAGAAACACCAGUAGUUACCCUUACAUUGUUUCCCCAGAUUGCACUCAUCAGCUCCCGAGAGCCCCUAUAAAAGUUUUUGCUAGAUACGGUCAAGAGAGGCUAUAUAUAGAUGGCAGCUAAUUAUUCCUCUUUUAAAAACCCACCAUUAACCUGACUGCAGAAAAGUGGAGAAAAGUUCCUUCUUCCCUUUGCAUCUAGUAGUGCUGUUGGAGUUAUUCUAAAUCUCUUGACAUUAUGUGGGCGUCAGUGGAUCACACAGGCUGAAUAGCAGCUAUCCCUUUCUUUUACUAUAUGACUGCCUUUCUACUUUUCCAACUAUAGAUAUCUUUGAUAAUAUCUUUGGUACUGAUUCUUCUUUGUAGUUCUGCAUCAGUGUUAUGCUUGCUCAUGAUAAUACAUAUUUCUUCAUUGUCCUCUAAGUGACCUACAAUUUUAAUUAUUUGGAGAUUGGUCUUCCAUGCUUCUGAAGCAUAUAGCAUCAUUGGAAGAAUAUUGGCAAAGAUGAGUCUUUGUUUGAAAGAGAAGCUUAGGGUCAUUAAAAGCACUGUACAAUUUCCCCAAAGCAAUCCAGUUCGUUCUCUCCCAUUCAAUUCCUGAAUAAAUCCACCAUCUAUCUGAAGAACAUACUGAUCAACCACCAUGAAUAUCCUGGGUUGAACAAUAGGCAUUCUUCAUCCCCUUGGUUUUUCCCAUGUGGAACUCUGCAUGAAGGUUAUUUAGGAAGUUCCGUGAUGUUUCACUGCUUAGUACAA
This is a non-coding RNA of Vombatus ursinus (common wombat), 1764 nucleotides long. The record is from the annotation of a RefSeq genome assembly. NCBI's taxonomy places the organism in Eukaryota, Metazoa, Chordata, Mammalia, Diprotodontia, Vombatidae.